CUGCCCCCCACCAGCUCAGGCUGCCCAGGGCCCCAUCCAACCUGGCCUUGAGCGCCUCCAGGGAUGGGGCACCACAGCUUCUCUGGGCAGCUGUGCCAGCGCCCUCUGCAUAAAGAAACUAUGAGUUAUGGUGCCAAUAUUUAUUGCUGGGGGAGUGGAGGAAAUGACAAUUCCACAAACCAUAACCCCUGUGAUAGAAAAAGAAAUAAGGAAAAGAAUCAACAUCUCCGUGCCUCUGGCUCAGUAUUGCACUUGAUGUGCAGGUCCACUCCUAUACCGAUGAAGCAUUUAAGCAGAGCAGUAUAAACAUAUGCUUAUAUUUCGCUAGCAGGAAAUUUAAAUCAACAUUUAUCUCCAUAAAGCCAGUCCUCAAAGAAUGAAUCAGGGACCAAAUCGGUAUUGUAAUUGAACUAAAAUAAUCCUAAGCUUCCUCUAAAAGCACAUAGCUUUAACCUGUCACGUCGAAUGAGAAUUAUACACUUAAACUAUAAUCUUCCUGUUCCCUUAGUCAUCAGAGCCCAGAUCAAAGUGAAAGAGGAAAAAAGCACAGAUGCUGCUCGGUUGUGAAGGAGGAGGUGGGGCACACAGGGAGUUUUGCAGGUUACCGGUGGGCAUGGUUGCUCCUGUGGUGGCACAGAAUGAAGGUGGGGACAGUGAUGGAGUUGGAGAGCUAUAACUGUGUGCUCCCUUGGCAGGACUGGGGUCAGCAUUGCAGAAGCCGCACUAUUAAUCCACUGGAGAUCGAUGAAAACCAACAUUUUUUUUUCAUAGAAUCCACAGAAUUCAUAGAAUGGUUUGGGUUGGAAGAGUCCUUCAAGCCCACUCACCCCAACCUGUGCCGUGGGCAGGGCUGCCCCCCACCAGCUCAGGCUGCCCAGGGCCCCA
Molecule: long non-coding RNA, 885 nt
Organism: Gallus gallus (chicken)
Lineage: Eukaryota; Metazoa; Chordata; Aves; Galliformes; Phasianidae
Source: Ensembl